RNAcentral lists this ribosomal RNA (345 nucleotides) under uncultured Fastidiosipila sp. RNAcentral describes it as "bacterial SSU rRNA". It matches the Rfam family "Bacterial small subunit ribosomal RNA", at positions 1033 to 1382 of the family's 1533-position model. Lineage: Bacteria; Bacillati; Bacillota; Clostridia; Eubacteriales; Oscillospiraceae. The record is from RNAcentral.
GACAGGUGGUGCAUGGUUGUCGUCAGCUCGUGUCGUGAGAUGUUGGGUUAAGUCCGCAACGAGCGCAACCCCUAUUAUUAGUUGCCAGCAUUUAGUUGGGCACUCUAGUGAGACUGCCGUUGACAAACGGAGGAAGGUGGGGACGACGUCAAAUCAUCAUGCCCCUCAUGUCCUGGGCCACACACGCACUACAAUGGCAACAACAGAGGGCAGCCAGGCCGCGAGGUUGAGCGAAUCCCAAAAUGUUGUCUCAGUUCAGAUUGCAGGCUGCAACUCGCCUGCAUGAAGUCGGAAUUGCUAGUAAUGGCAGGUCAGCAUACUGCCGUGAAUACGUUCCCGGGCCUU